GCGGAAGUGGCGGAAUUGGUAGACGCACCAGAUUUAGGUUCUGGCGCCGUAAGGUGUGAGAGUUCAAGUCUCUCCUUCCGCACCC
RNAcentral lists this transfer RNA (85 nucleotides) under Vibrio parahaemolyticus. RNAcentral's name for it is "tRNA-Leu". It matches the Rfam family "tRNA". From Rfam's summary of the family: Transfer RNA (tRNA) molecules are approximately 80 nucleotides in length. Their secondary structure includes four short double-helical elements and three loops (D, anti-codon, and T loops). The record is from RNAcentral. Lineage: Bacteria; Pseudomonadati; Pseudomonadota; Gammaproteobacteria; Vibrionales; Vibrionaceae.